RNAcentral lists this ribosomal RNA (1263 nucleotides) under Triticum aestivum (bread wheat). Its description in RNAcentral is "partial small subunit ribosomal RNA". Lineage: Eukaryota; Viridiplantae; Streptophyta; Magnoliopsida; Poales; Poaceae. The record is from RNAcentral.
AUGGACGGCAAUGGGAGAUCGGCGGCGAGUCACAAGAAGCCUCUCGUCGCGGACAACGACCUGGUGGAGCUGCUGUGGCACAACGGGGGCGUCGUCGCGCAGCCGCAGACGCACCCGAGGCCGGCGCCCAGCGGCCUCGCCGGCGGUGGCGGGGAGACGGCCGCGUGGUUCGCGGACGACGUCGACGCGCUGGGGAACGACGUGUACGCGCAGCUCUGGAACAGCAUUGCGGUGGGCGCCGCCCCGGACGUCGCGUGCGCGGCGCUCCCGGGGCCCAGCUCCCACCCUCCCCCGCCGCCGCCGCCGCCGCCGAUGCCGAGCGGCAUCGCCUCCAGCUGGACCGGUGGCGACAUCGGCUCCACCUUCUGCGGCAGCAGCCUGGUCCCGGAGGUGCCGGCGGGGGGCAGGGAGGAAGCCAGCGCCGCACCGCCGUCGGAGGGGACGCGCGAGGCCAGCACGCGCGACGGCGGCGCCGGCACCUCGUCGUCCGGCGGGUCCGGGAGCAACUUCGGGGGCUCCGGCCUGCCGAGCGAGAGCGGCGGCCAUGCCCACAAGAGGAAGGGCAGGGGCAAAGACGACUCUGAUAGCCGCAGCGAGAGGAAAUUGCAGGAUGUGGAGUGUGAGGCCACUGAAGAGACCAAAUCGUCGAGGCGGCACGGGUCGAAGCGGAGGAGCAGGGCAGCUGAAGUUCAUAACCAGUCAGAGAGGAGACGAAGGGACCGGAUCAACGAAAAGAUGCGGUCACUGCAAGAACUCAUACCCCACUGCAACAAGGCUGACAAAGCAUCAAUAUUAGAUGAGGCGAUCGAGUACUUAAAGUCCCUCCAAAUGCAAGUUCAGAUUAUGUGGAUGACCACCGGGAUGGCGCCAAUGAUGUUUCCUGGUUCUCACCAGUUCAUGCCGCCGAUGGCCGUGGGCAUGAAUUCGGCAUGCAUGCCUGCGGCACAGGGUCUAAAUCAGAUGGCAAGAGUGCCAUACAUGAACCAUUCUUUGUCAAAUCACAUCCCUAUGAGCCCAUCUCCAGCAAUGAACCCUAUGUACAUUGCAAACCAGAUGCAAAACAUUCAGCUGAGGGAAGCAAGUAACCAUUUCCUUCACCUAGAUGGCGGGCAAGCAACGGCACCUCAGCUUUGGUUUCAAUUCUUUGCAGGUAGCAGGACCAUAUGCUUAUACACCACAAGUAGCACCGAAAAGCCAGAUACCGGAAGUGCCGGAUUGUACUGCUGUGCCAAUUUCUGGGCCCGGACAACCACCUGCACCUGA